UGGAUCCAGACUUUGAUUAUGGCUCAGGAUGAACGCUAGCUACAGGCUUAACACAUGCAAGUCGAGGGGAAACGAUAUUGGAAGCUUGCUUCCGAUAGGCGUCGACCGGCGCACGGGUGAGUAACGCGUAUCCAACCUGCCCACCAUUUGGGGAUAACCUUGCGAAAGUAAGACUAAUACCCAAUGAUAUCUCUAGAAGACAUCUGAAAGAGAUUAAAGAUUUAUCGGUGAUGGAUGGGGAUGCGUCUGAUUAGCUUGUUGGCGGGGUAACGGCCCACCAAGGCGACGAUCAGUAGGGGUUCUGAGAGGAAGGUCCCCCACAUUGGAACUGAGACACGGUCCAAACUCCUACGGGAGGCAGCAGUGAGGAAUAUUGGUCAAUGGACGAGAGUCUGAACCAGCCAAGUAGCGUGCAGGAAGACGGCCCUAUGGGUUGUAAACUGCUUUUAUAAGGGAAUAAAGUUAGUCUCGUGAGACUUUUUGCAUGUACCUUAUGAAUAAGGACCGGCUAAUUCCGUGCCAGCAGCCGCGGUAAUACGGAAGGUCCGGGCGUUAUCCGUAUUUAUUGGGUUUAAAGGGAGCGUAGGCCGGAGAUUAAGCGUGUUGUGAAAUGUAGACGCUCAACGUCUGCACUGCAGCGCGAACUGGUUUCCUUGAGUACGCACAAAGUGGGCGGAAUUCGUGGUGUAGCGGUGAAAUGCUUGGAUAUCACGAAGAACUCCGAUUGCGAAGGCAGCUCACUGGAGCGCAACUGACGCUGAAGCUCGAAAGUGCGGGUAUCGAACAGGAUUAGAUACCCUGGUAGUCCGCACGGUAAACGAUGGAUGCCCGCUGUUGGUCUGAAUAGGUCAGCGGCCAAGCGAAAGCAUUAAGCAUCCCACCUGGGGAGUACGCCGGCAACGGUGCAACUCAAAGGAAUUGACGGA
Molecule: ribosomal RNA, 926 nt
Filed under: uncultured Bacteroidota bacterium
Lineage: Bacteria; Pseudomonadati; Bacteroidota
Description: bacterial SSU rRNA
Rfam family: Bacterial small subunit ribosomal RNA
Source: RNAcentral